GGAGAGAUGACUCAGCAGCUAAGAGUACUGGCUGCUCUUCCAGAGGACCAGGGUUCAAUUCCCAGCAUCCCCA
This is a non-coding RNA of Cricetulus griseus (Chinese hamster), 73 nucleotides long. NCBI's taxonomy places the organism in Eukaryota, Metazoa, Chordata, Mammalia, Rodentia, Cricetidae. The record is from Rfam.